Molecule: ribosomal RNA, 254 nt
Filed under: uncultured bacterium
Lineage: Bacteria
Description: partial 16S ribosomal RNA
Rfam family: Bacterial small subunit ribosomal RNA
Source: RNAcentral
UACAGAGGGUGCGAGCGUUGUUCGGAAUUACUGGGCGUAAAGGGCGCGUAGGCGGUCAGCACAAGUCAGUUGUGAAAUCUCCGGGCUUAACUCGGAAAGGUCAACUGAUACUGUGCGACUAGAGUGCGGAAGGGGCAACUGGAAUUCUCGGUGUAGCGGUGAAAUGCGUAGAGAUUUGGAGGAACACCAGUGGCGAAGGCGACUUUCUGGUCUGUAACUGACACUGAGGAGCGAAAGUGUGGGGAGCGAACAGG